CAGCAGUAGCCACGGGAAUACAGAGGGUGCGAGCGUUAAUCGGAUUUACUGGGCGUAAAGCGUGCGUAGGCGGCUAAUUGAGUCGGAUGUGAAAUCCCCGAGCUUAACUUGGGAAUUGCAUUCGAUACUGGUUAGCUAGAGUGUGGGAGAGGAUGGUAGAAUUCCAGGUGUAGCGGUGAAAUGCGUAGAGAUCUGGAGGAAUACCGAUGGCGAAGGCAGCCAUCUGGCCUAACACUGACGCUGAGGUACGAAAGCAUGGGGAGCAAACAGGAUUAGAUACCCGGGUAGUCCCUGUCUCUUAUAC
RNAcentral lists this ribosomal RNA (304 nucleotides) under uncultured bacterium. RNAcentral describes it as "partial 16S ribosomal RNA". It matches the Rfam family "Bacterial small subunit ribosomal RNA", at positions 506 to 807 of the family's 1533-position model. The record is from RNAcentral.